GCGUAGGUAACCUGCCUUGUAGCGGGGGAUAACUAUUGGAAACGAUAGCUAAUACCGCAUAACAAUGGAUGACACAUGUCAUUUAUUUGAAAGGAGCAAUUGCUCCACUACAAGAUGGACCUGCGUUGUAUUAGCUAGUAGGUGAGGUAAUGGCUCACCUAGGCGACGAUACAUAGCCGACCCGAGAGGGUGAUCGGCCACACUGGGACUGAGACACGGCCCAAACUCCUACGGGAGGCAGCAUG
RNAcentral lists this ribosomal RNA (245 nucleotides) under uncultured bacterium. RNAcentral's name for it is "partial 16S ribosomal RNA". It matches the Rfam family "Bacterial small subunit ribosomal RNA", at positions 115 to 353 of the family's 1533-position model. The record is from RNAcentral.